This 346-nucleotide unclassified non-coding RNA is filed under the name soil metagenome. RNAcentral's name for it is "partial contains 5.8S ribosomal RNA, internal transcribed spacer 2, and large subunit ribosomal RNA". The stretch from base 1 to 119 matches the Rfam family "5.8S ribosomal RNA", at positions 35 to 154 of the family's 154-position model. The record is from RNAcentral.
GAUGAAGAACGUAGCGAAAUGCGAUACGUAAUGUGAAUUGCAAAUUCAGUGAAUCAUCGAGUCUUUGAACGCACAUUGCCCCCCCUGGUAUUCCGGGGGGCAUGCCUGUCCGAGCGUCAUUGCUGCCCUCAAGCACGGCUUGUGUGUUGGGCCCCGUCCUCCGAUCCCGGGGGACGGGCCCGAAAGGCAGCGGCGGCACCGCGUCCGGUCCUCGAGCGUAUGGGGCUUUGUCACCCGCUCUGUAGGCCCGGCCGGCGCUUGCCGAUCAACCCAAAUUUUUUAUCCAGGUUGACCUCGGAUCAGGUAGGGAUACCCGCUGAACUUAAGCAUAUCAAUAAGCGGAGGA